CCCUUAGAUGUUCUGGGCCGCACGCGCGCUACACUGAUGCAUUCAACGAGCCUAUCCUUGACCGACAGGUCCGGGUAAUCUUUGAAUCUGCAUCGUGACGGGGAUAGAUUAUUGCAAUUAUUAAUCUUCAACGAGGAAUGCCUAGUAGGCGCAAGUCAUCAGCUUGCGUCGAUUACGUCCCUGCCCUUUGUACACACCGCCCGUCGCUCCUACCGAUUGGGUGUGCUGGUGAAAUGUUCGGAUCGGCCGUUUGUCGCGGUUUCCGCGUCAUGUGGUUGAGAAGUUCAUUAAACCCUCCCACCUAGAGGAAGGAGAAGUCGUAACA
Molecule: ribosomal RNA, 325 nt
Filed under: uncultured eukaryote
Lineage: Eukaryota
Description: partial 18S ribosomal RNA
Rfam family: Eukaryotic small subunit ribosomal RNA
Source: RNAcentral